GGGUGGUUCAUGGAUGUUUUUCACGUUACCGACCAACAUGGCAAUAAAGUCACAGAUAGAAACACUAUUGGUUAUAUAGAAAAAGUAAGGCUCUUGGACCAAAGGGUUACACAU
Ipomoea nil (Japanese morning glory) is the source of this 114-nucleotide long non-coding RNA. RefSeq lists it as uncharacterized. The transcript is spliced from 3 exons. NCBI's taxonomy places the organism in Eukaryota, Viridiplantae, Streptophyta, Magnoliopsida, Solanales, Convolvulaceae. The record is from RefSeq and is a predicted model, not a curated record.